ACACAUCGUUUAACAAUUUGGUCUGCACAAUACUUGAACAAAUAUGGGUCAUCCCAAAAGAAAUUCUUUAUUUCCGCAAAGAAUUUGAUCUUGUCUUGCUUGGUCCAAUGCUCUGGAAGUUUACCUGUAACAAGAUAAUUAACUAUAUCAGCAUACCAAGGUAAUACUUCCACACUCAUUAAUUGUUCAUCUGGAAAUGACUCAUUUAAUAUUAAUGGCUCUGUAAUUGUGUCAAAGUGAAGACGAGAGAGAUGGUCCGCC
RNAcentral lists this long non-coding RNA (261 nucleotides) under Citrus sinensis (sweet orange). RNAcentral describes it as "long non-coding RNA (CSIN_LNC004208)". The record is from RNAcentral. Lineage: Eukaryota; Viridiplantae; Streptophyta; Magnoliopsida; Sapindales; Rutaceae.